Molecule: long non-coding RNA, 770 nt
Organism: Acanthochromis polyacanthus (spiny chromis)
Lineage: Eukaryota; Metazoa; Chordata; Actinopteri; Pomacentridae
Exons: 3
Source: RefSeq, a predicted model, not a curated record
GAACAAAAGCCCCUGCAGCGAUACGCCCAGGUCAGCAACACUGUGCCUCUUCUGGUCUCUUUCUUCUCUGGAGGUGACUCCACAGCAGCCUUCAGGCUCUCUGAGGGAGAACAUCGUCACUGUGGUCCAGGAACAUCCCAUGGAUGGAGUCAUGAGCUGGAGGUGCUGGUGUGGAGUCAUCCUGCUCCUGACAGCCGACGCUCUGCCGGACCGUCCACGGUGUUGUAGAUGAACUGAUGAACAUCCACCUUCAUGUCCUCAGACAGGAGCAGGAGCAGGAAACUGGGGCUUUGCUCUCCUGGCUGCUGGGAUCACUGAUGGCUGCUGAAAUCUUCCUCCUGCAGAGCCACAGAAAGUCUAUGACAUAAACAGAAACCCUUUCCCCUCAGUUAUACUGCAGGUUGUUUGUGAGUCCAAAGGGAGGUUUAUUGAUCUGUGCAUGACGUUCUUGUCCUGCAUAAAUCCCCCAUGUAUCAGAAGGACUGCAUCCUCCAGCUGGGUGCUUCCUCUUGGGUGAUGGAGGGUGAAGAUGUCUGCAGCGUCAUGACACCUUAGCAGCAACCUGUCGCAGUUCCUGCUCCUUCUACACGCUGGGAGGACCUGACAGGUUUGGAGCACUCCUCAGUCCAACACUUCUCCAGACGGAAUCGGCUGUAACGUGGAGAAUCAAACAGCAGGGGGCGCCGUUUGAACAUCAUCCAACUGAUCAGCUGGAGCUGCUGGAGGCUGAGACACAAACAGGAAGUCAGAAACAAGAUGAGGCAUUUAUC